This 426-nucleotide ribosomal RNA is filed under the name uncultured bacterium. RNAcentral's name for it is "partial 16S ribosomal RNA". It matches the Rfam family "Bacterial small subunit ribosomal RNA", at positions 354 to 796 of the family's 1533-position model. The record is from RNAcentral.
GUGAGGAAUUUUCCGCAAUGGGCGAAAGCCUGACGGAGCAAUGCCGCGUGAAGGAUGAAGGCCUAUGGGUUGUAAACUUCUUUUCUCAGAAAAGAAUUAUGACGGUAUCUGAGGAAUAAGCAUCGGCUAACUCUGUGCCAGCAGCCGCGGUAAGACAGAGGAUGCAAGCGUUAUCCGGAAUGAUUGGGCGUAAAGCGUCUGUAGGUUGUUUAAAAAGUAUUCUGUCAAAGAUUAGGGCUUAACCCUAGAUAGGCAGAAUAAACUUUUAAGCUAGAGUUUGGUAGAGGCAGAGGGAAUUCCCGGUGGAGCAGUGAAAUGCGUAGAUAUCGGGAGGAACACCAAAGGCGAAGGCACUCUGCUGGGCCAAUACUAACACUGAGAGACGAAAGCGAGGGGAGCAAAUGGGAUUAGAUACCCGAGUAGUCC